This 296-nucleotide long non-coding RNA is filed under the name Nicotiana benthamiana. RNAcentral describes it as "long non-coding RNA (NBEN_LNC042655)". Lineage: Eukaryota; Viridiplantae; Streptophyta; Magnoliopsida; Solanales; Solanaceae. The record is from RNAcentral.
ACCGGGUGUCCGAGUCUCUCCGAGCCCCAGCUAAUCCCGGGAGUGCACAGGCCCUCGGCAAGGAGUUUCCCGCAAAUGCACCACGGUUAAUUCAGGUUUUAUCCAAUCCGAUGACCCUCACAAAUUGUUUGCACCCGGUGGGUUUCGAACUUGAGACAUUGAAAAGGAUCAAACCCCAAGGCUCAAGUCAAUUUCCACCAGGCCAACUCCCGAGGGUUCAAAGAAAACGGUUAACAACCCAUAUUAUCCACUAAAAAUGGGUUGGAUAAUGAACUUUUAAAAACGGACCAAAUAUG